RNAcentral lists this long non-coding RNA (2561 nucleotides) under Homo sapiens (human). Its description in RNAcentral is "HSALNT0138338". The record is from RNAcentral. Lineage: Eukaryota; Metazoa; Chordata; Mammalia; Primates; Hominidae.
UUGUGUUUUCAGCUGAGCAACUGGAGAAGAUGACAGCCCAGAAGACCAGAACUUGCCUUGAAUGCAGGAAGAGGCAAUGCCACUCUAAGAAACAUGAACAACCCUGGAAGACGAUCAUAUCCUUUCUCAAUAUUAUAGACUGAACUGUGUCUUCCUUGCAAACUCACAUAUUGAAGUCCUAAUCCCCCAGUACUUCAGAAUAUGACAGUAUUGGUACAGAGUGUCUUUAAAGAGGUGUUGCUUUAUUCCUGAGUGUUGAGUGGAUGCUUCUAGGGUGGCACUGAAACUCUCUCUGUGCACACCCUGGUGACAAAUGCAGGUGGGCUUCAAGACCCCAUCUCCACCCAUAGGGUGGGUACGACCACUCUGAUGCAGGGUCUCUUAUGAGAACAAGUAAUUGUUCUCAUCAGAUGGUUUUAAACCAGCAAGAAAGGCUUUAUUCAAGAUCUUUGCAGUAGGGGAGAGCACCCAGGUCCUCUGCAGCACACGGCAGGAAGGCUGAGAGGCCUGAGGGGCUGCUGAGCAGGUGGGAGAGCCCUGGAGGCCUCAGCAGGGGGCUGGCCCCCUAAUCCUCCUCAAUGGAGUCAGGCUCCUGCCCUCCCACAGUGCCUGAGGGGCUGGGCCCUUUCUUUCUCGAUGCCUCAUUUUCCAAGGCAGCUCCCAGGCCUGGAGAAGGACAUUUCCUGAGCUGUGGAACUGGCAAGUAGCUGGAAGAAGAUUUACACCUUGAAGGGGCAGAGAGAGUUUACAAUUUUACGUUUUCCAAAAUCAGUGCUCUGGACAGGGGAGGUGGAGGCCCAAGUUAGGAAGAAAUCUGUCUGGAGUGAACAAGCCUGGGGGAGUGAACGCCGGCUCGGCCCAAGUGUGGCCGGCAGCCCAGCUGCUGGUGCAGAGGUGUCCUGAUCAUAGUGCUCCAGCAUUGCUGCUCUGGGCCCACUGGCAGGGUCCAGGGUUCCUGUGUCACCACCCAGGGCCCUGACAGCCGGCUGAAGCCCUCACUUUCCUCCACAUGCCUGGCUGGGCCGGGAGGCCAAACCCCAGAGGCCACUAUUUGAGUCCUUCAUCCGUGUUGUCCUCACUGAGCAGUGGAGACUCAGUGGCUGUGUCUAGGAGUGGGCCCCGCCCCAGUGACCCUCACGAUGCUCCACACAUACACAGGCGGGUCUGCAGGGUGGCCGGGCCCUCCACAGGAGUGUGACCGGCAGAAACCAACACCUCUACUCUGCCCAGGUGCACGCAGGGCAAUGUUCUUCAUCCUGAUGACAGUGCACCCAGCCUGCUGCUGACAUGACUUGAGGAAGCUUCAGUCCAGAGGCUGAGGGACCCACACCGGGGCUCCAGCAGCUCACAGUGGGUGGACAGGUCACUGCUGCAGCACCUGAGAGUGGGCAGGGUGGAGAGGCAGCGAGUCAGGGCUACGAUGGCGGAAGGUGGAGGCGACCUCCCUCUGGGCUUCGAAUCCAGCCCUCCCACCUGGCAGUCAUGGAGCCUCACCAAGCAGUUUAACUCCCAAGUCCCAGAUCCCAUCUGUGAAGCCAGGUGGUAAGAACUGUGGGUCACUGGGUCUCCUGGGUUCCCAGAGGCCCCCAUGGCCAUCUCUAGAACAGCAGCUCCCCAUGGGUAGCACCUACAUUCCCAGGCACAGUCCCACCUGGACACCUCCAGCCCACCCUGGAGCUGCGAGUGAACCAGCACCCUCUCCUGCCUCCUUCCAGGCCUCGGGCCACAGCCUCUCACAGGACCCCUGGGAAUCACCCGCAUCUAUCGCUGUUUACCCACCGGGACCCACCUCCCAGGCUACCUGGGAAAAGCCACGGGAUUUAUGUGCAUCUGGAGAGGCAGCUCCACCUUCCUCACAUGAGCGGUCACUAAUGAUUUGACUUUGUCAGCCUGCAAGGUGGAAAGGAGAUUUACUCUCCACAGACUGGACAGUCCUUAGCUUUGCGCUUGUCACAUAAAUGGCAUUUAAUAAAUGCUCCCUGGACUCAGCACUGCUCCUGAAGGCCUGUAUUGUGGUCAAAUAUCGUUUCUUCUGCAGAUGAGCUUAUUCUUCUCCUCUCAGGAUCAAUCCUUUCGCCUUCACCGAGGCAUCUGACACUAGCAUUUGGAGGAACACCCAUUCCUUCCUCUUCUCUCAGCUGCCUUUGGAAAUUACCAUCCCAAACGUGACUCCCCACAGAGUGGCACUCACUGAUCACGGGUCUUAACUUUAAAAGGUUAAAAAUAAGUCAAGGCUUAAGGUAAAUUAACAGGAGGCGUGGAUGUCUGAGCAAUGUGGUGAACUGAGUCACAGGACUGCCGGGAGGUUCACAGCUGGGACUUUCCAGGCCUCCCGAACGCAGAGCGCCUGAAGACCUCAGUGGGGCCACAGAGUGUGUUUCAGGUGUGAUUUGGGGUCAUUUAUGCCAAUUUUAUUCACUUUUAUUUUCAUCUGGUUUUCUUUCUAUAUAUUACAUCAUGCAUGGCACGUUUAUAGUCAUCCGUAUGACGUCUGUCUCACACAGUGAGUAAAGGAGUACAGCUGUACUUUUCACUCAGCAAAAUAGGAAAGAAUAAAGAUG